This 75-nucleotide transfer RNA is filed under the name Sandaracinus sp. RNAcentral's name for it is "tRNA-Gly". It matches the Rfam family "tRNA". Rfam says of the family: Transfer RNA (tRNA) molecules are approximately 80 nucleotides in length. Lineage: Bacteria; Pseudomonadati; Myxococcota; Polyangiales; Sandaracinaceae. The record is from RNAcentral.
GCGACGAUCGUCCAAUGGACAAGACACCGGCUGGCCAUGUCGGAGAUGUGGGUUCGACUCCCGCUCGUCGCUCCC